UACGUAGGGUGCGAGCGUUGCCCGGAAUUAUUGGGCGUAAAGAGCUCGUAGGCGGUCUGUUGCGUCCGCUGUGAAAACUCGGGGCUUAACCCCGAGCCUGCAGUGGAUACGGGCAGACUAGAGGUAGGUAGGGGAGAAUGGAAUUCCCGGUGUAGCGGUGAAAUGCGCAGAUAUCGGGAGGAACACCGGUGGCGAAGGCGGUUCUCUGGGCCUUACCUGACGCUGAGGAGCGAAAGCGUGGGGAGCGAACAGG
Molecule: ribosomal RNA, 253 nt
Filed under: uncultured bacterium
Lineage: Bacteria
Description: partial 16S ribosomal RNA
Rfam family: Bacterial small subunit ribosomal RNA
Source: RNAcentral